UACACUCCUGCGGGAGGCAGCAGUGGGGAAUUUUGGACAAUGGGCGAAAGCCUGAUCCAGCAAUGCCGCGUGAGUGAAGAAGGCCUUCGGGUUGUAAAGCUCUUUUGUCAGGGAAGAAACGGUGAAAGCUAAUAUCUUUUGCUAAUGACGGUACCUGAAGAAUAAGCACCGGCUAACUACGUGCCAGCAGCCGCGGUAAUACGUAGGGUGCAAGCGUUAAUCGGAAUUACUGGGCGUAAAGCGUGCGCAGGCGGUUUUGUAAGUCUGAUGUGAAAUCCCCGGGCUCAACCUGGGAAUUGCAUUGGAGACUGCAAGGCUAGAAUCUGGCAGAGGGGGGUAGAAUUCCACGUGUAGCAGUGAAAUGCGUAGAUAUGUGGAGGAACACCGAUGGCGAAGGCAGCCCCCUGGGUCAAGAUUGACGCUCAUGCACGAAAGCGUGGGGAGCAAACAGGAUUAGAAACCCUGGUAGUCCCA
Molecule: ribosomal RNA, 474 nt
Filed under: uncultured organism
Description: partial 16S ribosomal RNA
Rfam family: Bacterial small subunit ribosomal RNA
Source: RNAcentral